Molecule: ribosomal RNA, 484 nt
Filed under: Scleromystax macropterus (sailfin corydoras)
Lineage: Eukaryota; Metazoa; Chordata; Actinopteri; Siluriformes; Callichthyidae
Description: partial 16S ribosomal RNA
Rfam family: Bacterial large subunit ribosomal RNA
Source: RNAcentral
AGGUCCUGCCUGCCCAGUGACUAUGUUAAACGGCCGCGGUAUUUUGACCGUGCAAAGGUAGCGCAAUCACUUGUCUUUUAAAUGAAGACCUGUAUGAAUGGUGGAACGAGGGCCUAACUGUCUCCCCUUUCAAGUCAAUGAAAUUGAUCUAUCCGUGCAGAAGCGGGUAUAUAACUACAAGACGAGAAGACCCUUUGGAGCUUAAGAUUAAAAAUCAACUAUGUCAAAUAUUUAUUAAAUAGAACUAAAUAGUAACUGAUUAUAAUCUUCGGUUGGGGCGACCACGGAAUAAAAAUAAACUUCCACAUGGACUGAGGACUAACCUUAAAACCAAGAAAAACAUUUCUAAGUCACAGAAUUUCUGACCACACAGAUCCGGCAAAUUGCCGAUCAAUGGACCAAGUUACCCUAGGGAUAACAGCGCAAUCCCCUUUCAGAGUUCCUAUCGACAAGGGGGUUUACGACCUCGAUGUUGGAUCAGGAC